UAAACUCUUCUGCUUUAUUUUACAGUUGCAAGAUAUUUCUGUUGGCUGAAGCAGGCUCUUCCCUUUCUCUGUUCAUUCAAUGCACACACACUCAGACUCAGAACUAGUAAAAAACUCCCCUAAUGGCCUUUCUAACAUAAAGCUGCAUGAUCCACAUCUUCUGCUUCAUCUACUGACCACACGCUUUCUCAUCAGGAAUUCUCUGACUCGCUGCCGUUGUGGGAGAAGUUCCGGACUGGCUGGGUGCUGCAUCAGUAGAUGGUCAGCAGCCUUCAUACCAGCUGCUACAAGUGGAGCACCACACUACUG
This is a long non-coding RNA of Pseudopipra pipra, 309 nucleotides long. RefSeq lists it as uncharacterized. The record is from RefSeq and is a predicted model, not a curated record. The transcript has 2 exons. NCBI's taxonomy places the organism in Eukaryota, Metazoa, Chordata, Aves, Passeriformes, Pipridae.